Molecule: transfer RNA, 70 nt
Filed under: Rhacodactylus willihenkeli
Lineage: Eukaryota; Metazoa; Chordata; Lepidosauria; Squamata; Diplodactylidae
Description: Rhacodactylus sp. KGeiss-2023a tRNA-Trp
Rfam family: tRNA
About the family: Transfer RNA (tRNA) molecules are approximately 80 nucleotides in length. Their secondary structure includes four short double-helical elements and three loops (D, anti-codon, and T loops).
Source: RNAcentral
AGAAACUUAGGUUAAAUACCAAACCAAGAGCCUUCAAAGCCCUAAACAGAGGAUAAACCCCUAGUUUCUG